Molecule: long non-coding RNA, 627 nt
Filed under: Sorghum bicolor (sorghum)
Lineage: Eukaryota; Viridiplantae; Streptophyta; Magnoliopsida; Poales; Poaceae
Description: long non-coding RNA (SBIC_LNC001712)
Source: RNAcentral
AGGUAUGAGGAGGACGAAUACAAGAAGAAGCCUGGUGGUGGUGGAAGGUAUGAGGAAGAAGAUGGCUACAAGAAGAAGCCAAGCAGCGGUGGCUAUGGAGGAGGAAAGUACGAGGAUGAAGAUGACUACAGGAAGAAGCCAAGCAGUGGUGGCUAUGGUGGGGGAAGGUACGAGGAUGAAGACGAUUACAAGAAGAAGCCCACAAGUGGUGGCUAUGGUGGGGGGAGAUAUGAGCAAGAAGAUGAUUACAAGAAGAAGCCUACAAGUGGCGGCUAUGGUGGCGGGAGGUAUGAGCAGCAGGAUGAAUAUAAGAGGCCUCCUAGCGGUGGUGGCAGUAGCUAUGGGGGAGGCAGGUAUGAAGAAGAUGAUGAGUAUAGGAAGAAGCCGAGUGGGAGCUAUGGUGGAGGAAGGUAUGAGGACGAAGAUGAUUAUAGGAAGAAACCUAGUGCUGGUCAUGGUGGAGGGAGGUAUGAGGAAGAUGAUGAGUACAAGAAGCCCAGUGGUGGCGGAUAUGGUUAUGGGGCUUCCAGUGGUGGAGGCCAUGGAGGAAGGUACGAAGAAGAGGACUACAAGAAGAAGCCUAGUGGACACUCAGGGGGAUGCUAUGAGGAAGAGGAGGGGUACAAG